AAAGAAAUAGCUCUGUAAGUGGCAAUUUGGGUUCCAAGUACUUAGAAUUUUGGUGAAUCCCUUUUGUUUCAGAAGAAUUAACAAACUCUGGAAUCACUCUGUGCAGCAAGCGUAAACAUUAUUUCUUGAACAACUUUAUGUACUAUUGAAAAGUCAGAUUCAUUGUUCCAUUCAAAUAUAUUAAAACUAUAUGAAGAGCUAAUGUGGAAAAACUCAGCUCAUAGGAAUACAAAAUAACUUCUUCUGAAACUUCCCAUAUGCAGAAUAUUAAGAAUUUUUAAUUUUUUAUUUUUUUUUUUACAAAAGUUAACUCGAUGCAGUACGCAGUAAGCAUAUGUGAGAAUCUGUGGUUCUCACACAUACCUAUACUGCAUACAUUAUGCAUAACAGAAAUAUAGGCAAUCUUUGAAAUUAACAAGAGGGGUUUUUUCCUAAUAAAUGUUUUAAACUACCGUACCACCAAUAGCAAACUACUGCUAGAUAUUUUAAAGUUAUUAUGUUCAAGAACACUUUAAAAAUAUUAUUUAUAAUCAUGAAUAUUAUUUUGAUGCUUUAGGUUUUUAUUUAAACACUGCACGUGUUUCAUUCUGAUUCCUGGCAUCAUACCACAACUCCAGUUUCUUCAGCUCAGACAGCGACAACUGUUUAGGUGUCCGAAAACCCACAAAUCACAGUAUCAGUGGAGGUAUGGAUCACUAAGCCUAUUAACAGGCUCGUUUUUCUUACACAUCGAUUGAAAACACAGUGCGCAAACCUUCCAGGAUUCCACAACUUGCAGGCAGAAAGCCACCAAUCUUAAAAAAAAUACAUCCCGUUAUUGCUUCCUUAUUUAAUUUGGCUGGCUAAAAAGUUACUGCUCAAACUGGCAAAAGUAAAAUCUGGCAAACCCAGGCCUAUAGUAGACACGUUUGCUGAUACAACAGUGUCAUUCAGGAUGUGAGUUUCUGGAUUUCUAAGCAAGCAACCAGCAUCCUUUUUGAGAAAAUCAUUUUGGAUUAGAAGUCACCUUGCUGGGACAGCUCACCAAGUAAAAGCGCUUUUCCCAGAGACUGCAUUAUAAACUCUACAUAUGCCAGGAAGAUUUGGCUGUUCACCAUUAAUAGCAGCAUACCUUUCACCCAGCACUCAGAAACUGCAGAGACUUUUAGAGAGAAAGCCCGUAUCAUCAGAACUUCUCUGCACGGAUUAACCCCGAAGCAGCACCCGUGUUCAGAACAAGGCUACGCAGCUGCAGCACCCCAGCCAGUUCAUUUAAAAGACACUCGGCUGCCGCCCUCCCACACCGCGCGCGGCAGAGCCUCGCCACCAUCGCUACAUCUGCUGGCCAACACUCACCACGGUUACUUGCAGAGCAUAAAGCACAAUAAGGAUCUUUCCUCCCUGGAGUUACUAAAUAUGUACUGCUGGUGUCACAACAGCGCAGAUCUGCCAGCGUUUCCUCUGAAAUCUCUUUCUUCAUAAAUUUAACUCGACAGAGAAAAACACCAAGUGAAACAUAACUUCUCUCUAGGCUUGGGAAUAAUGCCGAUUGUGAUUUGGUUUUACCUAACAAGUAUCUGCUGAAAAAAUAAAUCAAGUGAGGAAGUUUUUUGUUCUCAUUUUAACUUCCCACAGCCUCAUCACUAUGGCUUCCAAGUGCAUUUGCUGGUUGUUUUUUUUCUUAACAACCACAAAUAACUCUACAGAAUGUCAUCUGGUAAACACUUUAUUCAGAUCACCUCUUUACAGUCAUAGUCUCCACAUUCUCAUUUUAAAAACUUAAUUAGUGUAAUCUAUUUUUGUAGUAUCCCAUUAUCUACCCUCUAAAUCUAUACAAUAAACCUUCCUACACUAUAUACCCAAUAAAACUGAUGCCUUUUGAGCACAUAUUUACAGAAUUAGCCACAAAGUCUUCUUCAAAAUUCCCUCCCAUGUCAAGCUGAGCAAUUAAACUACACGUAAACGCAGCAUACAAUCUGAGGCAAGUCUAUUAACAUUUCGUUUCUCCAAAAGUUUUUGCAGGCCUUAACACACGCUUACGCAACCCAGUGUUUAAACUACCUGCAAUUAUUUGGGAGAGUCACCCAGUGAUUAGAGCAGAGGCCCAGCAGCCAGGAUGGCUGGAUUCCAUUAUUGCUAACUCUGUCACUGACACUCCGUGACCUUGAGCAAGUUGGUUAACCUCACCUCAAUUUGCUAAUCUAUGAAGGCACAUAUUCUGCAAAGCAUUUAAGUGGGCAGAUAGUCACAUUUAAACUGGCAGAACUACUCGGCAAAGCCUGGGCUGAAAUAUGCUAUUGUUUACCUCUUCACAGGGUGAUGAGAAGUUUAAUUAGUAACUGUCUCCAGGAUGCUGUAAAAUGAAAUAGUCUCAGAAUGUUACGUAUUAGCAUGGAUGACUACAACAUAUAUAAAUCAUGCUGAGACUGAUAGCAAUUUAAUAGAUUUAAAUAUAUGCAAAUAACUUUACUUUUGCAAAUGCUGAGAAGGUGACUGUAAC
Molecule: long non-coding RNA, 2479 nt
Organism: Tyto alba (common barn owl)
Lineage: Eukaryota; Metazoa; Chordata; Aves; Strigiformes; Tytonidae
Exons: 2
Source: RefSeq, a predicted model, not a curated record